GACGAACCGGGCAAACGUUAUUCGGAAUCACUGGGCUUAAAGGGUGCGUAGGCGGCCCUGUAAGUUGGGUGUGAAAUCCCUCGGCUCAACCGAGGAAUUGCGCCCAAAACUACAGGGCUUGAGGGAGACAGAGGUGAGCGGAACUGAUGGUGGAGCGGUGAAAUGCGUUGAUAUCAUCAGGAACACCAGUGGCGAAGGCGGCUCACUGGGUCUCUUCUGACGCUGAGGCACGAAAGCUAGGGGAGCAAACGGG
This 253-nucleotide ribosomal RNA is filed under the name uncultured bacterium. RNAcentral describes it as "partial 16S ribosomal RNA". It matches the Rfam family "Bacterial small subunit ribosomal RNA", at positions 524 to 776 of the family's 1533-position model. The record is from RNAcentral.